This 305-nucleotide unclassified non-coding RNA is filed under the name plant metagenome. Its description in RNAcentral is "partial contains 5.8S ribosomal RNA, internal transcribed spacer 2, and large subunit ribosomal RNA". The stretch from base 1 to 105 matches the Rfam family "5.8S ribosomal RNA", at positions 50 to 154 of the family's 154-position model. The record is from RNAcentral.
GAAAUGCGAUAAGUAGUGUGAAUUACAGAAUUCAGUGAAUCAUCGAAUCUUUGAACGCACAUUGCGCCCUUUGGUAUUCCUUAGGGCAUGCCUGUUCGAGCGUCAUCUAAACCUUCAAGCCCUGCUUGGUGUUGGGUGCCUGUCCCGCCUCCGCGCGCGGACUCACCUCAAAUCCAUUGGCGGCCCCCGCGUCGGCCACGAGCGCAGCAGAAAUGCGAACUCGUGAGCCCGUCCGGGCGGCUCCCAGAAGCUACACCCACCCAGUUUGACCUCGGAUCAGGUAGGGAUACCCGCUGAACUUAAGC